This 24-nucleotide non-coding RNA is filed under the name Arabidopsis thaliana (thale cress). Lineage: Eukaryota; Viridiplantae; Streptophyta; Magnoliopsida; Brassicales; Brassicaceae. The record is from RNAcentral.
AUCUAGUGCUUUGGCUCUGAGUCC